Molecule: ribosomal RNA, 468 nt
Filed under: uncultured bacterium
Lineage: Bacteria
Description: partial 16S ribosomal RNA
Rfam family: Bacterial small subunit ribosomal RNA
Source: RNAcentral
GACGAACGCUGGCGGCGUGCUUAACACAUGCAAGUCGAACGGUAAAGCCCUGCUUUUGUGGGGUGCUCAAGUGUCGAAAGGGUGAGUAAAACGUGAGUGUACUGCCCUUGACUUUGGGAUAAAUCCAGGAAACUGGGGCUAAUACAGGACAGGAGAACCGACUGCAUGGUGCGGGUUUGAAAGUUUCGGCGGUUGGGCAUGGACAUGCGGCUUUUCAUCUUGUUGGUGGGGAGGUGUCUUACUAAGGCUCUGAGGGGUCGCCAGCCUGAGAGGGUGACCGGCCACAUUGGGACUGAGAUACGGCCAGGACGCCUACGGGAGGCAGCAGUGGGGAAUAGAGCACAAUGGGCGGAAGCCGUAUGCAGGAACGCCGCGUGCUGGAUGACUGCCGUCGGUUUGUAAACCGCUUGCGCCUGUGACGAAGCGUGAGUGACGGUAAUGUGUAAAGAAGGACCGGCUAACUACGUG